This 75-nucleotide transfer RNA is filed under the name Clostridia bacterium. RNAcentral's name for it is "tRNA-Glu". It matches the Rfam family "tRNA". From Rfam's summary of the family: Transfer RNA (tRNA) molecules are approximately 80 nucleotides in length. Their secondary structure includes four short double-helical elements and three loops (D, anti-codon, and T loops). The record is from RNAcentral. Lineage: Bacteria; Bacillati; Bacillota; Clostridia.
GGCCUCAUGGUCAAGCGGUUAAGACGCCGCCCUCUCAAGGCGGAAUCACGAGUUCGAUUCUCGUUGGGGCUACCA